GCGUUCUGUAAGCCGUCGAAGGUGUGCUGUAAGGCAUGCUGGAGGUAUCAGAAGUGCGAAUGCUGACAUGAGUAACGAUAAAGGGGGUGAAAAACCCCCUCGCCGGAAGACCAAGGGUUCCUGUCCAACGUUAAUCGGGGCAGGGUAAGUCGACCCCUAAGGCGAGGCUGAAAAGCGUAGUCGAUGGGAAACGGGUUAAUAUUCCCGUACUUCUUAUAAUUGCGAUGGGGGGACGGAGAAGGCUAGGUGGGCUUGGCGACGGUCGUCCAAGUUCAAGUGCGUAGGCUAAGAGUUUAGGUAAAUCCGGACUCUUGUUAGGCUGAGACACGAUGUCGAGCUACUACGGUAGUGAAGCCAUUGAUGCCAUGCUUCCAGGAAAAGCCUCUAAGCUUCAGAUUAUAAGAAAUCGUACCCCAAACCGACACAGGUGGUCGAGUAGAGAAUACUAAGGCGCUUGAGAGAACUCGGGUGAAGGAACUAGGCAAAAUGGUACCGUAACUUCGGGAGAAGGUACGCUCCUAGCGGUGAUGAGACUUGCUCUCUAAGCUGCCGGGAGUCGCAGAUACCAGGUGGCUGCAACUGUUUAUUAAAAACAUAGCACUGUGCUAAAUCGUAAGAUGACGUAUACGGUGUGACGCCUGCCCGGUGCUUGAAGGUUAAUUGAUGGGGUUAGACUUCGGUCGAAGCUCUUGAUCGAAGCCCAAGUAAACGGCGGCCGUAACGAUAACGGUCCUAAGGUAGCGAAAUUCCUUGUCGGGUAAGUUCCGACCUGCACGAAUGGCGUAACGAUGGCGGCGCUGUCUCCACCCGAGACUCAGUGAAAUUGAAAUCGCUGUGAAGAUGCAGUGUAUCCGCGGCUAGACGGAAAGACCCCGUGAACCUUUACUAUAGCUUUGCACUGGACUUUGAGUUUGCUUGUGUAGGAUAGGUGGGAGGCUUUGAAGCGUGGACGCCAGUUCGCGUGGAGCCAACCUUGAAAUACCACCCUGGCAACCUUGAGGUUCUAACUCUGGUCCGUUAUCCGGAUCGAGGACAGUGUAUGGUGGGUAGUUUGACUGGGGCGGUCUCCUCCUAAAGAGUAACGGAGGAGUACGAAGGUGCGCUCAGACCGGUCGGAAAUCGGUCGUAGAGUAUAAAGGCAAAAGCGCGCUUGACUGCGAGACAGACACGUCGAGCAGGUACGAAAGUAGGUCUUAGUGAUCCGGUGGUUCUGUAUGGAAGGGCCAUCGCUCAACGGAUAAAAGGUACUCCGGGGAUAACAGGCUGAUACCGCCCAAGAGUUCAUAUCGACGGCGGUGUUUGGCACCUCGAUGUCGGCUCAUCACAUCCUGGGGCUGAAGCCGGUCCCAAGGGUAUGGCUGUUCGCCAUUUAAAGUGGUACGCGAGCUGGGUUUAGAACGUCGUGAGACAGUUCGGUCCCUAUCUGCCGUGGACGUUUGAGAUUUGAGAGGGGCUGCUCCUAGUACGAGAGGACCGGAGUGGACGAACCUCUGGUGUUCCGGUUGUCACGCCAGUGGCAUUGCCGGGUAGCUAUGUUCGGAAAAGAUAACCGCUGAAAGCAUCUAAGCGGGAAACUUGCCUCGAGAUGAGAUCUCACUGGAACCUUGAGUUCCCUAAAGGGCCGUCGAAGACUACGACGUUGAUAGGUUGGGUGUGUAAGCGCUGUGAGGCGUUGAGCUAACCAAUACUAAUUGCCCGUGAGGCUUGACCAU
This 1712-nucleotide ribosomal RNA is filed under the name Gammarus chevreuxi. Its description in RNAcentral is "bacterial LSU rRNA". It matches the Rfam family "Bacterial large subunit ribosomal RNA", at positions 1236 to 2925 of the family's 2925-position model. The record is from RNAcentral. Lineage: Eukaryota; Metazoa; Arthropoda; Malacostraca; Amphipoda; Gammaridae.